This is a long non-coding RNA of Conger conger (European conger), 373 nucleotides long. RefSeq lists it as uncharacterized. The record is from RefSeq and is a predicted model, not a curated record. NCBI's taxonomy places the organism in Eukaryota, Metazoa, Chordata, Actinopteri, Anguilliformes, Congridae. The transcript is spliced from 3 exons.
AUGUGAUUUUACUUGACACGAUCCUAUAACAAAGUAAUUUGUCGAGUUGGAGUCCCCAAAAUAUCGACAAAAUGCCACUUGCAUCAUGACAAUUGAAUAUCAUCGUCGAGGAAGCCAAGAACCGACUGGAUCGUGGUAACAUUCGUAAGCCCCAAGCCGCACGCACACAGAGGGGAGUGGCACCUGUACCCUAAAGGUAGCAGGUUUGAAUCCCAGGACACAGCUGUGCCCCUGUGCUCAGCCUCACCACGUUGCGUAGGUGAAAGCCAAGGACACCAACUGGCACGCAGCUCACCACAGAAAUCCCCCAUUUACGGCUGCAUCAUGGCGUCUCUCCAGGACAUCCACGACCGGAGACAGCAACGCGUCAACC